GACGAACGCUGGCGGCGUGCUUAACACAUGCAAGUCGAACGGAAAGGCCCUGCUUUUGUGGGGUGCUCGAGUGGCGAACGGGUGAGUAACACGUGAGUAACCUGCCCUUGACUUUGGGAUAACUUCAGGAAACUGGGGCUAAUACCGGAUAGGAGCGCCUGCUGCAUGGUGGGGGUUGGAAAGUUUCGGCGGUUGGGGAUGGACUCGCGGCUUAUCAGCUUGUUGGUGGGGUAGUGGCUUACCAAGGCUUUGACGGGUAGCCGGCCUGAGAGGGUGACCGGCCACAUUGGGACUGAGAUACGGCCCAGACUCCUACGGGAGGCAGCAGUGGGGAAUAUUGCACAAUGGGCGGAAGCCUGAUGCAGAAACGCCGCGUGCGGGAUGACGGCCUUCGGGUUGUAAACCGCUUUCGCCUGUGACGAAGCGUGAGUGACGGUAAUGGGUAAAGAAGCACCGGCUAACUACGUG
This 468-nucleotide ribosomal RNA is filed under the name uncultured bacterium. RNAcentral's name for it is "partial 16S ribosomal RNA". It matches the Rfam family "Bacterial small subunit ribosomal RNA", at positions 28 to 507 of the family's 1533-position model. The record is from RNAcentral.